Molecule: ribosomal RNA, 253 nt
Filed under: uncultured bacterium
Lineage: Bacteria
Description: partial 16S ribosomal RNA
Rfam family: Bacterial small subunit ribosomal RNA
Source: RNAcentral
UACGUAGGUGGCAAGCGUUGUCCGGAUUUACUGGGCGUAAAGAGCGCGCAGGCGGUCGUUCAAGUCGCGUGUGAAAGCCCCCGGCUCAACUGGGGAGGGUCACGCGAUACUGAUCGACUCGAAGGCAGGAGAGGGUAGUGGAAUUCCCGGUGUAGUGGUGAAAUGCGCAGAUAUCAGGAGGAACACCGGUGGCGAAGGCGGAUCUCUGGGCCUGAUCUGACGCUGAGGCGCGAAAGCUAGGGGAGCGAACAGG